UUGGGGCAAGAAACUGUUGCUGUAAGAACUCCAAAAGGAUGUAAUACUUCAAAAUUUGUGUGUAAUUCACAACUUUUCUACUUUGUUUUUCAGAUAUCAGUUACUGAAUGCUGUGAGAAUAGUUAGACUCAUUUCAGUCUGAUUUAUUUUAAAGCUUCUCAAGUUCCAGGAGUCUAAGUGGCAGCUGGAAUUUUCCUACAGUGAAAGAAGAGACCCUUCACCCCUCCAGUCUGAAAUCACAAGGGAUGAGGAGGGACACACCACACCAUAGGCUGAUGGUCAAAUGGAGGAACUUCAAUCACCAGGACUGCUUGUCUCUACUGGAGAGCAUCAGUCAAGGAGUUGACAACUGAGCUGCCCUGGGGAAGGAAGAAUUUUCCAUUUGAAAGAAUCUCUACUUUUCGGCCACCAAAUUGUCAUGGAGCUCAUUACCUCAGAUGAGAUGAGCAAUGGUGUGGAAUAACUAAAAUGACCUCCUUGAAGAAACUGGCCUGUUGGGGAUAACACAGGAGAACAUGUGGGCUGAAGUCUCCCUAUGGCAGAGAGGGCAAAAUUAAAUGAAGAUCUCCUGGAUCCUGAGGACAUCAACUCACCCAGCACUGAUGGGAACACCACACUGUGAUUCUUCACCCCCAGUCAAAAAAAGACUUGUUCUUUGCGCAGCUUUUGAAAGAGUCUGGCACCUUUACAUUCUGGACAGCGGAUGGAGAAGUUUUUCAAAAAUCCUCGUUUGCCCUCCGAGACUGACUGGCUUCCCCGCAGCCCUACCCCGCAGGCAGCCCAGCCUCUGCGGAAGGCACCUGCUGUCAUCUCCAAACAGACGAGGAAGGGAGACAUCUAAAGGCAUCCCCGGGAAGUUCACUCUUCUUCUGCCCACGCCGAUCCCAGAUUUCGACCGCCGGUUUGACAGAGGCAAGUAUCCCCGCUGUGCAAAAGCAGACCUAGCACAGAAGCAGAAUAUUUCUGAGAAGCAUUGCGCACAUUCCCUGCAGUCGUGCCAGAAAGGACAGGAGUGUCUAAGCUACAGCCUCAUACUACAGUAUGCUGCUAGCCUCCUAGCUGCAGUUCUUGAACAGUUCUUGAUCUGCACUUCCAUCCUUUCCCCUCACACCCCGAGGUCACUGCUGAAAGGGAAAGUGCAGAUGGAAGCUGAGAUGUAGAGGCACAUCUGACAGGGGACGUGUAGGAGCAUCAGUAACACAUGCAAUAAGCAUUCAAACUUUCAGGAGGCUGCACAGCAUUCACCACUAACAGCAAGCAGGAAGGUGAAAAACAUCUCCUCCACUACAGAGCUGUCAGUGGAAGUGGCUGCCUUCCCAUCAGGAGAGUGCAACACAGAGUAGACAGUGCAUCUUGUCCGUGAGCUGGAACUGAGGCACCCGCUUCCUUCCCCUCACCCUGUCUGAGAUCAAUGGUAGCUCCAAGGCCCAAAGUGCUCCUUUCUUUCUUUGCCAUCAUCGCCACCCAAAGUGCAGCAGGUCAGGGAGCUGCUGGAGAGUGAGGCUUUUUCUAAUUCUUGGGACUGGCAUUUUCAUGACGAAAAGAAAAAAAGUUACAUUUUCAAAUCAAUAUUAGGUGAACAGUUCAGAAUAAAAGCUUUUCCCUUAGAGAUGCAAAUCAUCUGGACUGCUCUAACAUUGUCAGGGCUCUAACGACCCUAAAGCACUGUCUUUGUGCCAUCUGUAAGGCAACAAUAGCUUGAACUGUGAAGGACAAUUUCAUUUCGAGUGACCUGGCUGGAAGCAAUAAGAAUUCAAAGACCAACUAGAAAGAAAUACUUGCUUAAACACUCACAGCUUUAUUUUCAUCUGCAUCACACAGAACAUUGACCAGUUCUGUAUAACCUUUCUACUCCCUAGAAAUUGCAGUGUUCCGCUGUAGAAAAUGCAAAGAGUAUAAGGUCAAUGUCAAGUCAUAAAACAGCUACAAGUGCAAUUUGAGCAUUUGCAGUUAUGGGAAAAACAAGAAAAAAAGGUACUUUAUGCUCCAGCUGGAAUUCUACUCCCUCUGUAAACAGUGUUAAUAAAAUACAGAUGCAAUUCGGGCCACUGGCAUUCAAAAGUCAUUAACAUGAGAAGCUGCUCAGUGGCCUGUAUGAAUCGCAUUUUGUUGGUCUUAGACCAGUGCCUGUUAGACAGACAUCUACAUUACAGCUAGUGCCAGGACCAAGUGCUGCAAUGCAUUUUCUCUCUGAAUUCCCCUUUUGGAAGUAAAGCUAAUCACUUUUAGACACUACAGAGUCCCUCCUCCCCAGCACUGCUGGUGUCCAUGCAUCCAUCUGCAAGGCUGCUGGGCCAGGAUUGAAAUACAAACAUGUACAGAGAGCAAUGGCUGACCUUAGUGCAGCAAGUAAUAACUGUCAAACUGUUCUACAUGGCGAGUGCUGAUGCCUCUGUACUUCGUGCCCGUACAGGAUCAGUUCUACAUGCUAAAUGCAGUCAAAGACAUCAGCAUGGCAAAAAAGAUGCAGCGUGCGUGCAAGGCAGCUCUCUGGGUGCCUGAUAGCCAACACAGACAUGACUGUGUUAUUGUGAGCAAAAACUGUGUACACAUUUCAUCUUUGCCACUGGAUUCUGGCCUUGCAAGAGGAACUUCCAUGUGUGCUUCAUUCCCCAUUUAGUGCUUUAUGAACUCUGAGUCACUGUCUGCUGUGGUGUCCAAAGCAAAGUACAAUGUGGCUUUGCAAGAAGCCUCUAAACAAUUGAAGGAAAAAUACCUGUAAACACAUCUCUUGUCUGCCAUGCAGCUUCUCCCUGACCUAACCUUCCACAGACUUUUCCCCACAGGAGGCUGCUCAGUCCCUCUGGUUUGUGCUCUCAAUAUAAAGCAGCCUUCACUUCCAGCUAGCAUGAGUGAUAUCCCACUGGGAGACACCAGUUUCCAUCCCAGUUUUUGCAGGAUCAUCCUCUCUGAGAAACACAGCCAUUCACUACCAGUUGAGCAGGCCCUCCACUCAGGCAGGCUUUCAAGCCUCGUUGAAUCCAUAUGCUCCAAAUGAUCCCACUGAUUUUUCUCCUGGUUUCUGCACGGGUAUGACUUGUGGCUGUCUGAUCCAUGUCACGGCUGCCAUAUGCUCUUGGGUACCAGCAGGAGCAAGACAGGAUGGAUUACGACCUUCAGAAGACUGCAGCUGCCACCAAAGUACAGUACCUGUAUAUAAGCCUUGUGUUUUCCUGUUAAGACUUGCUGUUCUUCUCUGACAUGCCCCUUUGCACUCAGAUUUGUCACGCAUCUUACAGGUUGGAAAUCAUAUCCUCAGCCAUCAAAUCCUCCAUUUCUGUCUUGAAUAAUAUGCUUUGUGGCAAAAAAAUUGGAUAUGAAAUGUGUAUUCAUUCACUGAGAUGCUUCAAAAAGAGUACAAGGAUUAGCAAAUGAAAGUAAAAUAGAUCUGAUUUAUGCAAUAAUACAGUACAAAGACUGCAGGAAUAAUGCCAACAGUCAUUUUAUAUGUGUUUAUGCACAUUAACUCUCUAAGUGAUGAUACUGACUCUAACGUCUAGGUUCUGUAAUACUUCAAAGAACUAUAGCUGCAAAUAGGCAAGCAUAAGUUCCAUUUUGGUAACAGCAAAUGCAUAUUUUUGCUCACACAACCUGCCUCCUCUGUCAGCUGUACCUGCACUUUUGUCUGCUCUUUGACUGAUAAAAUGCCACUGACGUCAUCUGUAGCAGAGCUUCCUGCUUGAUAUCUGUGAAAACAAGAAGAGGAUCAGGGCUACACUAAACAAACAAAUGUCAGUCAUCAAGGGCUAAGUGCUCAGAGGAAAGGUAAGUGAAAGGGGCUUUGUGUAGCUCUUCCACCAUCCUCAAAGGUGACAUAAGGUUGGAUUUAGCUGAAGAAGUCUGCAAGUUGCCUUCUUUUUACUUUGUGUGCUCUUGGAGGAAAUGCUUUGAAAAGGCUAAAACCACUGAUAUUUUGGUGCUAUGAGAAGUAGAAUGUUAGCUAGAAAAUAAUGGAAACUCUCCCCUAAGUGUAUGAUCCAUUAAGUUGUUUUGCAACACUGGGAAAUGAAGCAUGGAGUAUUUUACUGAAGUCAGUAUCCCACGGGGAUGAAAGAAAGAUCAGAAUCUCUCUCUGCAGUAGGCUGAGCUCUGCCAGCAAGCAUGUAGAUAUAAACCCAGAAUAUCUCCAGUUUAGUUGGAAGAAUUGCCCUGAGUUUGAGGACUAACCCAGGGUCUGUCCCACCAAUAUGGAUGUCUUCAGCC
This is a non-coding RNA of Coturnix japonica (Japanese quail), 4203 nucleotides long. Lineage: Eukaryota; Metazoa; Chordata; Aves; Galliformes; Phasianidae. The record is from RefSeq and is a predicted model, not a curated record.